This 468-nucleotide ribosomal RNA is filed under the name uncultured bacterium. Its description in RNAcentral is "partial 16S ribosomal RNA". It matches the Rfam family "Bacterial small subunit ribosomal RNA", at positions 28 to 507 of the family's 1533-position model. The record is from RNAcentral.
GACGAACGCUGGCGGCGUGCUUAACACAUGCAAGUCGAACGGAAAGGCCCUGCUUUUGUGGGGUGCUCGAGUGGCGAACGGGUGAGUAACACGUGAGUAACCUGCCCUUGACUUUGGGAUAACUUCUGGAAACUGGGGCUAAUACCGGAUAUGAGCUCCUGCUGCACGGUGGGGGUUGGAAAGUUUCGGCGGUUGGGGAUGGACUCGCGGCUUAUCAGCUUGUUGGUGGGGUAGUGGCUUACCAAGGCUUUGACGGGUAGCCGGCCUGAGAGGGUGACCGGCCACAUUGGGACUGAGAUGAGGCCCAGACUCCUACGGGAGGCAGCAGUGGGGAAUAUUGCACAAAGGGCGGAAGCCUGAGGCGGCAACGCCGCGUGCGGGAUGACGGCCUUCGGGUUGUAGACCGCUUUCGCCUGUGACGAAGCGUGAGUGACGGUAAUGGGUAAAGAAGCACCGGCUAACUACGUG